RNAcentral lists this ribosomal RNA (253 nucleotides) under uncultured bacterium. RNAcentral describes it as "partial 16S ribosomal RNA". It matches the Rfam family "Bacterial small subunit ribosomal RNA", at positions 524 to 776 of the family's 1533-position model. The record is from RNAcentral.
UACGGGGGGGGCAAGCGUUGUUCGGAAUUACUGGGCGUAAAGGGCUUGUAGGUGGCCAACUAAGUCAGACGUGAAAUCCCUCGGCUUAACCGGGGAACUGCGUCUGAUACUGGAUGGCUGGAGUGUGGGAGAGGGAUGCGGAAUUCCAGGUGUAGCGGUGAAAUGCGUAGAUAUCAGGAGGAACACCAGUGGCGAAGGCGGUUCUCUGGGCAUUACCUGACGCUGAGGAGCGAAAGUGUGGGGAGCGAACAGG